This 491-nucleotide ribosomal RNA is filed under the name uncultured bacterium. RNAcentral describes it as "partial 16S ribosomal RNA". It matches the Rfam family "Bacterial small subunit ribosomal RNA", at positions 28 to 507 of the family's 1533-position model. The record is from RNAcentral.
GAUGAACGCUGGCUACAGGCUUAACACAUGCAAGUCGAGGGGAAACGACGGGGAAGCUUGCUUCCCCGGGCGUCGACCGGCGCACGGGUGAGUAACGCGUAUCCAACCUGCCUCUGACUGAGGGAUAACCCGUCGAAAGUCGGCCUAAUAACUCAUGGCAUCGUCUGCGGGCAUCCAACGACGAUUAAAGAUUUCAUGGGUCAGGGAUGGGGAGGCGUCUGAUUAGCUUGUUGGCGGGGUAACGGCCCACCAAGGCUACGAUCAGUAGGGGUUCUGAGAGGAAGGGCCCCGAGAGUGGGACCGGGACAAGUGCCAAACGCCUACGGGAGGGAGCAGUGAGGGAGACAGGUGAGUGGGCGGGAGCCUGAACCAGCCAAGUAGGGUGCAGGAAGACGGCGCUAGGGGUGGUAAACUGCUUUUAGGAGGGGAUAAAGGGAGGGACGUGUCCUUCAUUGAAGGUACCGCAUGAAUAAGGACCGGCUAAUUCCGUG